RNAcentral lists this ribosomal RNA (739 nucleotides) under Combea mollusca. Its description in RNAcentral is "SSU rRNA". It matches the Rfam family "Bacterial small subunit ribosomal RNA", at positions 445 to 1229 of the family's 1533-position model. The record is from RNAcentral. Lineage: Eukaryota; Fungi; Ascomycota; Arthoniomycetes; Arthoniales; Opegraphaceae.
AAGAUUCUGGGUAAUUACUGACGACGACAAUCUUUAUCUAGGAGUCUUGACAAAAUCACGUGCCAGCAGUCGCGGUAAUACGGGAAAGACGAGUGUUAUUCAUCUUUAUUAGGUAUAAAGGGUACCUAGACGGUUUAUUUAGCCCUUAGGGGACACUUAUAGACUAGAGUUUAAUGUGAGAGGCAUAUUAGUACUAACGGAGUAAAGAUAAAAUUUUUUGAUCCUGUGGGGCACUGGUAACGGCGAAGGCAACCCUCUAUGUAAAAACUGACGUUGAGGGACGAAGGCUCGGGUAACGAACAGGAUUAGAUACCCUAAUAGUCCUUGCAGAGAAUUAUGAGUGCUAUAGGUUAGAAAUAUGUUGAUCUAUAAAUGAAAGUGUAUGCACUCCACCUCAAGAGUAAUGUGGCAACGCAGGAACUGAAAUCAUUAGACCGUUUCUGAAACCAGUAGUGAAGUAUGUUGUUUAAUUCGAUGGUCCGCGAAUAAUCUUACCACAAUUUGAAUAUUAUAUUGCUUUACGUUUAUUUGUAUUUGUUUAUAAAUAUCUAAAUCACUGUAAUACAGGUGCUGCACGGCUGUCUUUAGUUAAUGUCGUGAGACGUAGGUUAGAUCCAUAAAAUUAACGUAAACCCUUGUAUCAUUUACAAAUGAUCCAGUUCCCCGUUAUAUUGGAAAGACAAUAGGGACCAAGACAAGUACUCGUGGUCCUAAUAUUGUGGGCUAUAGACGUGCCACA